RNAcentral lists this ribosomal RNA (778 nucleotides) under uncultured bacterium. Its description in RNAcentral is "bacterial SSU rRNA". It matches the Rfam family "Bacterial small subunit ribosomal RNA", at positions 8 to 775 of the family's 1533-position model. The record is from RNAcentral.
AGAGUUUGAUCCUGGCUCAGAGUGAACGCUGGCGGUAGGCCUAACACAUGCAAGUCGAACGGCAGCACAGAGGAGCUUGCUCCUUGGGUGGCGAGUGGCGGACGGGUGAGGAAUACAUCGGAAUCUACUCUGUCGUGGGGGAUAACGUAGGGAAACCUUACGCUAAUACCGCAUACGACCUACGGGUGAAAGCAGGGGAUCUUCGGACCUUGCGCGAUUGAAUGAGCCGAUGUCGGAUUAGCUAGUUGGCGGGGUAAAGGCCCACCAAGGCGACGAUCCGUAGCUGGUCUGAGAGGAUGAUCAGCCACACUGGAACUGAGACACGGUCCAGACUCCUACGGGAGGCAGCAGUGGGGAAUAUUGGACAAUGGGCGCAAGCCUGAUCCAGCCAUACCGCGUGGGUGAAGAAGGCCUUCGGGUUGUAAAGCCCUUUUGUUGGGAAAGAAAUCCAGCCGGUUAAUACCUGGUUGGGAUGACGGUACCCAAAGAAUAAGCACCGGCUAACUUCGUGCCAGCAGCCGCGGUAAUACGAAGGGUGCAAGCGUUACUCGGAAUUACUGGGCGUAAAGCGUGCGUAGGUGGUCGUUUAAGUCCGUUGUGAAAGCCCUGGGCUCAACCUGGGAACUGCAGUGGAUACUGGGCGACUAGAGUGUGGUAGAGGGUAGCGGAAUUCCUGGUGUAGCAGUGAAAUGCGUAGAGAUCAGGAGGAACAUCCAUGGCGAAGGCAGCUACCUGGACCAACACUGACACUGAGGCACGAAAGCGUGGGGGCAAACAG